ACGGAAGAUCCCGCGGUCUCGAGUCCAGCCAGUUUCUGUGUCAUCUAGCCAAGGCCGGACGGUUGAGCUCAGAUCUGCAAGGCACUCCAUUCACUUCACCCCGCCUCCAAAAAGUUCGACUAUGGUGGCCGGGAAGGACCACACACAGGUGUCUCUGACCUUUGAAGACGUGGCUGUGGCUUUCACCCAAGAGGAGUAGGGACAGCUGGACCAUGUCCAAAAAUCUCUGUGCCAGGAAGUGAUGCUGGAAAUCUCUAGGCUUCUGGUCUCUCUGGCUAGAUCCUCUGAGAGUGGGCAGUUAUAAAAGAGUAUAAUUAUUCCUGUCUUGCUAUGGCCAACCCGCCUCACCUAUCUGUACCCGCUUGUCCUCCAUCAUGGGAGCAAACCACUGGAGUUAUUGAAGUAGACUGUUAACCUUCAAAAACGAGUUAAGGUAUCCUGUCCCCAACCUGGAGCUGUUGUGCCAGCGGGAGCAAGUGCAAGAACCAUGGACAGUGGUCAAGUCCCCCUCCGAAAGCACCAGCUUAGGAGCCACUGGCCAGAUGGAGCCCAGCACCUCAACCAAGUGAGUGCUUUGCUA
RNAcentral lists this long non-coding RNA (580 nucleotides) under Rattus norvegicus (Norway rat). RNAcentral describes it as "long non-coding RNA NONRATT002265". Lineage: Eukaryota; Metazoa; Chordata; Mammalia; Rodentia; Muridae. The record is from RNAcentral.